This 401-nucleotide unclassified non-coding RNA is filed under the name soil metagenome. RNAcentral's name for it is "partial contains 5.8S ribosomal RNA, internal transcribed spacer 2, and large subunit ribosomal RNA". The stretch from base 1 to 121 matches the Rfam family "5.8S ribosomal RNA", at positions 35 to 154 of the family's 154-position model. The record is from RNAcentral.
GAUGAAGAACGUAGCGAAAUGCGAUAAGUAAUGUGAAUUGCAGAAUUCAGUGAAUCAUCGAAUCUUUGAACGCACCUUGCGCCCUUUGGCUAUUCCGAAGGGCAUGCCUGUUUGAGUAUCAUGAACACCUCAACUCUCAUGGCUUGCUGUGAUGAGCUUGGAAUUUGGGGGUCUUGUUGGCUUGUGAGCCAGCUCCUCCUAAAUGAAUUAGCUUGCCGGUGUUUGGUGGCAUCACAGGUGUGAUAACUAUCUACUCUUGUGGUUUCCCAUCAGGUAACCUCCAGUGAUGGAGGUUCGCUGGGGCUCAUAAAUGUCUCUCCUCAGUGAGGACAGAUUUUGACUGUUUGAUCUCAAAUCAGGUAGGACUACCCGCUGAACUUAAGCAUAUCAAAAGCGGAGGA